AACGAACGCUGGCGGCAUGCCUAACACAUGCAAGUCGAACGAGACCUUCGGGUCUAGUGGCGCACGGGUGCGUAACGCGUGGGAAUCUGCCCUUGGGUUCGGAAUAACAGUGAGAAAUUACUGCUAAUACCGGAUGAUGUCUUCGGACCAAAGAUUUAUCGCCCAGGGAUGAGCCCGCGUAGGAUUAGAUAGUUGGUGGGGUAAUGGCCUACCAAGGCGACGAUCCUUAGCUGGUCUGAGAGGAUGAUCAGCCACACUGGGACUGAGACACGGCCCAGACUCCUACGGGAGGCAGCAGUGGGGAAUAUUGGAAAAUGGGCGCAAGCCUGAUCCAGCAAUGACGCGUGAGUGAUGAAGGCCUUAGGGUUGUAAAGCUCUUUUACCCGGGAUGAUAAUGACAGUACCGGGAGAAUAAGCGCCGGCUAACUCCGUG
Molecule: ribosomal RNA, 433 nt
Filed under: uncultured bacterium
Lineage: Bacteria
Description: partial 16S ribosomal RNA
Rfam family: Bacterial small subunit ribosomal RNA
Source: RNAcentral